This 448-nucleotide ribosomal RNA is filed under the name uncultured bacterium. RNAcentral's name for it is "bacterial SSU rRNA". It matches the Rfam family "Bacterial small subunit ribosomal RNA", at positions 355 to 825 of the family's 1533-position model. The record is from RNAcentral.
UGGGGAAUAUUGGACAAUGGGCGCAAGCCUGAUCCAGCCAUGCCGCGUGGAUGAUGAAGGCCUUAGGGUUGUAAAGUCCUUUCGGCGGGGAAGAUAAUGACGGUACCCGCAGAAGAAGCCCCGGCUAACUUCGUGCCAGCAGCCGCGGUAAUACGAAGGGGGCUAGCGUUGCUCGGAAUCACUGGGCGUAAAGCGCACGUAGGCGGAUUUCUAAGUCGGUGGUGAAAUCCUGGAGCUCAACUCCAGAACUGCCUCCGAUACUGGGAGUCUUCGAGUCCGGGAGAGGUGAGUGGAACUGCGAGUGUAGAGGUGAAAUUCGUAGAUAUUCGCAAGAACACCAGUGGCGAAGGCGGCUCACUGGCCCGGUACUGACGCUGAGGUGCGAAAGCGUGGGGAGCAAACAGGAUUAGAUACCCGUGUAGUCCCUGAGCGGGCUGGCAAGGCGCAU